Long non-coding RNA from Mytilus trossulus (common blue mussel), 2309 nucleotides. RefSeq lists it as uncharacterized. Lineage: Eukaryota; Metazoa; Mollusca; Bivalvia; Mytilida; Mytilidae. The transcript has 6 exons. The record is from RefSeq and is a predicted model, not a curated record.
UGAAAUGCAUGUAUUUUUAAUGGUAAAUGAUUAUAGAACUCAAUCAGACUAAACAAAUGUAAAUAAAUUGUUUUCAAUGAGUGGUUAAAGGUGGCAGGUACCAGUUUUGGUGUACCAGAACAAGUGUCCCACGCAGAAAUUUUGUUAUAGUUAAGUAUUGAGGUAUAUAACUGCUUCAUGUGGACUGAAAAAAUAAAUGAAUGUAAAUUCUAGGCUAUUGUACUACACAAGUAAGUAGUUGCAUACACAGAGAGGGGAUUUCCUUCACAUAUAGGUCCAAUCAGAUGUCAAAAUUGUGGUCUCCUCACUUGACGGCAUCCAAUCAAAGUAGGGGAAAUAUUCAUUUUUUUGUAAACAAAAAUAUCUUGAGAUUUUGAUGGUAAGGAUAGGUUCGGACAAGGCUCUAAUUCAUUGAAUAUCCUUUAUCUCUUGAAUUUUGCCUAUAAUUCUUGUCGGCUUUUAGCAGGAUUCUGCAGCUCUACUACAUAGUUGAUACAGAAGGACAGGCUACAGAAAUAAGAAAACUGGCCUCUCUCAUCAGCAAUAGUGUGGCAAUUCUAAAAUUUCAACAUGCGGCCUACACAGCUAGCUCAUGUGGAGAAGAGAUAUGGGACUGGUUGCGAAUAAAUGUACACUUAGUUUAGUGCAUCAUGGAUCUACAAAGUGAAAUAUAUGUACCAAAAAUAUUAGUUUAUUCAUAACUAAGCCUUUUUCAGCACUGAAGUCAAUAGAACAAUGAUAGUGACAAGAAUUGAGACUAUUUAAUACCUCAAACUAUGGGAAAAUACUUCUUGAGAUCAGUUCUCUACUACAUAGUUGAUACAGAAGGACAGGCUACAGAAAUAAGAAAACUGGCCUCUCUCAUCAGCAAUAGUGUGGCAAUUCUAAAAUUUCAACAUGCGGCCUACACAGCUAGCUCAUGUGGAGAAGAGAUAUGGGACUGGUUGCGAAUAAAUGUACACUUAGUUUAGUGCAUCAUGGAUCUACAAAGUGAAAUAUAUGUACCAAAAAUAUUAGUUUAUUCAUAACUAAGCCUUUUUCAGCACUGAAGUCAAUAGAACAAUGAUAGUGACAAGAAUUGAGACUAUUUAAUACCUCAAACUAUGGGAAAAUACUUCUUGAGAUCAGUUCUCUACUACAUAGUUGAUACAGAAGGACAGGCUACAGAAAUAAGAAAACUGGCCUCUCUCAUCAGCAAUAGUGUGGCAAUUCUAAAAUUUCAACAUGCGGCCUACACAGCUAGCUCAUGUGGAGAAGAGAUAUGGGACUGGUUGCGAAUAAAUGUACACUUAGUUUAGUGCAUCAUGGAUCUACAAAGUGAAAUAUAUGUACCAAAAAUAUUAGUUUAUUCAUAACUAAGCCUUUUUCAGCACUGAAGUCAAUAGAACAAUGAUAGUGACAAGAAUUGAGACUAUUUAAUACCUCAAACUAUGGGAAAAUACUUCUUGAGAUCAGUUCUCUACUACAUAGUUGAUACAGAAGGACAGGCUACAGAAAUAAGAAAACUGGCCUCUCUCAUCAGCAAUAGUGUGGCAAUUCUAAAAUUUCAACAUGCGGCCUACACAGCUAGCUCAUGUGGAGAAGAGAUAUGGGACUGGUUGCGAAUAAAUGUACACUUAGUUUAGUGCAUCAUGGAUCUACAAAGUGAAAUAUAUGUACCAAAAAUAUUAGUUUAUUCAUAACUAAGCCUUUUUCAGCACUGAAGUCAAUAGAACAAUGAUAGUGACAAGAAUUGAGACUAUUUAAUACCUCAAACUAUGGGAAAAUACUUCUUGAGAUCAGUUCUCUACUACAUAGUUGAUACAGAAGGACAGGCUACAGAAAUAAGAAAACUGGCCUCUCUCAUCAGCAAUAGUGUGGCAAUUCUAAAAUUUCAACAUGCGGCCUACACAGCUAGCUCAUGUGGAGAAGAGAUAUGGGACUGGUUGCGAAUAAAUGUACACUUAGUUUAGUGCAUCAUGGAUCUACAAAGUGAAAUAUAUGUACCAAAAAUAUUAGUUUAUUCAUAACUAAGCCUUUUUCAGCACUGAAGUCAAUAGAACAAUGAUAGUGACAAGAAUUGAGACUAUUUAAUACCUCAAACUAUGGGAAAAUACUUCUUGAGAUCAGUUGUAAGUGGUUUUAUAUCAUGCAUGAAACAAUAAACUAAAGUAGUUUCAUAUACUGUUGGAUAAUUCAUACACUGUACCAGAAAACUCACACAAUAAAAGUUAUUAAAUAUGAACACAAUCAUUUUUUUCCAAUUAUUUUGCAUUCAAAGUAGUAUGACGGCAAAAGACACAAAUAUUGCUAUAAUAAAUUUGGUCUUA